RNAcentral lists this transfer RNA (45 nucleotides) under Zootrophion griffin. RNAcentral describes it as "partial tRNA-Thr". Lineage: Eukaryota; Viridiplantae; Streptophyta; Magnoliopsida; Asparagales; Orchidaceae. The record is from RNAcentral.
ACCAUGGUAAGGCGUAAGUCAUCGGUUCAAAUCCGAUAAAGGGCU